AUUGAACGCUGGCGGCAGGCCUAACACAUGCAAGUCGAACGAGUGGCGGACGGGUGAGUAAUGUCUGGGAAACUGCCUGAUGGAGGGGGAUAACUACUGGAAACGGUAGCUAAUACCGCAUACCAUCGGAUGUGCCCAGAUGGGUGUAGCUAGUAGGUGGGGUAAAGGCUCACCUAGGCGACGAUCCCUAGCUGGUCUGAGAGGAUGACCAGCCACACUGGAACUGAGACACGGUCCAGACUCCUACGGGAGGCAGCAGUAGGGAAUAUGGCACAAUGGGCGCAAGCCUGAUCGAGCAACGCCGCGUGUGUGAAGAAGGCCUUCGGAUCGUAAAGCUCUGUCGGUGGGGAAGCGGUACCUGCAGAGAAAGCACCGGCUAACUACGUGCCAGCAGCCGCGGUAAUUC
Molecule: ribosomal RNA, 406 nt
Filed under: uncultured bacterium
Lineage: Bacteria
Description: partial 16S ribosomal RNA
Rfam family: Bacterial small subunit ribosomal RNA
Source: RNAcentral